CCUACGGGAGGCAGCAGUAGGGAAUUUUCCGCAAUGGGCGAAAGCCUGACGGAGCAAUACCGCGUGAGGGAUGACUGCCUAUGGGUUGUAAACCUCUUUUUUCAGGGAGGAAUAAAUGACGUGUACCUGAAGAAUAAGCAUCGGCUAACUCCGUGCCAGCAGCCGCGGUAAGACGGAGGAUGCAAGUGUUAUCCGGAAUCACUGGGCGUAAAGCGUCUGUAGGUGGCUCGACAAGUCAACUGUUAAAUCUUGAAGCUCAACUUCAAAAUCGCAGUCGAAACUAUCGGACUAGAGUAUAGUAGAGGUAAAGGGAAUUUCCAGUGGAGCGGUGAAAUGCGUAGAGAUUGGAAAGAACACCGAUGGCGAAGGCACUUUACUGGGCUAUUACUGACACUCAGAGACGAAAGCUAGGGUAGCAAAUGGGAUUAGAUACCCCAGUAGUCCUAGCCGUAAACAAUGGAUACUAGGUGUUGAACAGAUCGACCUGUGCAGUACCAAAGCUAACGCGUUAAGUAUCCCGCCUGGGAAGUAUGCACGCAAGUGUGAAAACUCAAAAGAGUAAGUUAGGACCGUGAGACGUACGCGAACCGAGGACCACCGAGGGAGGGUUAAGGAG
Molecule: ribosomal RNA, 616 nt
Filed under: uncultured bacterium
Lineage: Bacteria
Description: bacterial SSU rRNA
Rfam family: Bacterial small subunit ribosomal RNA
Source: RNAcentral